This 31-nucleotide non-coding RNA is filed under the name Mus musculus (house mouse). Lineage: Eukaryota; Metazoa; Chordata; Mammalia; Rodentia; Muridae. The record is from RNAcentral.
UCAUUGCCAAUUGCAGCUUAUUCUUUCUGUC